AUCAAUUUCUCAGCCUUUUGAUUAAGAUCAAGUGUAAUAUAUGUUCUUAUCCGUUAAAUAUCUGAUAUGUUUUUAAAUAAUCGAUGCUAAACUUGCACACACCAACU
Molecule: small nuclear RNA, 107 nt
Filed under: Medicago truncatula (barrel medic)
Lineage: Eukaryota; Viridiplantae; Streptophyta; Magnoliopsida; Fabales; Fabaceae
Description: sRNA gene30718
Rfam family: U2 spliceosomal RNA
About the family: U2 is a small nuclear RNA (snRNA) component of the spliceosome (involved in pre-mRNA splicing). Complementary binding between U2 snRNA (in an area lying towards the 5' end but 3' to hairpin I) and the branchpoint sequence (BPS) of the intron results the bulging out of an unpaired adenosine, on the BPS, which initiates a nucleophilic attack at the intronic 5' splice site, thus starting the first of two transesterification reactions that mediate splicing.
Source: Rfam by way of RNAcentral